AAACUAGAUAUUUUUUCUCUUUAAAACAGUAGAGUUUUUAUUAUUUAAAACAGUAGAGUGUGGAAUAUGGAUUCCCAUUUUUAAAAAUUUGGAAUAGUAUGAAAUGAAAAUUCUAUGAAAACGAUACAUGAAAAUAAACUUUAUUAGUUAAAAUAGUUUACAUUUAUGUAUUUGUGUCAUCAUACACAUCAAAUACUUAGUUGUCUCAUAUUGCCUCUUGUUUUUCACAGGAAAAUA
This 237-nucleotide long non-coding RNA is filed under the name Brassica napus (rape). Its description in RNAcentral is "long non-coding RNA (BNAP_LNC007462)". Lineage: Eukaryota; Viridiplantae; Streptophyta; Magnoliopsida; Brassicales; Brassicaceae. The record is from RNAcentral.